This 372-nucleotide ribosomal RNA is filed under the name uncultured bacterium. Its description in RNAcentral is "bacterial SSU rRNA". It matches the Rfam family "Bacterial small subunit ribosomal RNA", at positions 524 to 898 of the family's 1533-position model. The record is from RNAcentral.
UACGGAGGGUGCAAGCGUUAUCCGGAUUUAUAGGGUUUAAAGGGUCCGUAGGCGGACUUAUAAGUCAGUGGUGAAAUCUCAUAGCUUAACUAUGAAACUGCCAUUGAUACUGUAAGUCUUGAGUGUAGUUGAGGUAGCUGGAAUAAGUAGUGUAGCGGUGAAAUGCAUAGAUAUUACUUAGAACACCAAUUGCGAAGGCGGGUUACCAAGUUACAACUGACGCUGAUGGACGAAAGCGUGGGGAGCGAACAGGAUUAGAUACCCAGGUAGUCCACGCUGUAAACGAUGCUAACUCGUUUUUGGGGCGCAAGCUUCAGAGACCAGGCGAAAGUGAUAAGUUAGCCACCUGGGGAGUACGAACGCAAGUUUGAA